Heterocephalus glaber (naked mole-rat) is the source of this 2553-nucleotide long non-coding RNA. Lineage: Eukaryota; Metazoa; Chordata; Mammalia; Rodentia; Bathyergidae. The record is from Ensembl.
CUUUGAACAAGCGUACAAAUGAAAUGGUAGACACAUGCUGAACUCAACAUUGUGACAUUAAGGGAAAAAAGAGGCCCCAAAUCUUGUACAGAGAAUAAAAAGAACAAUAAAUAUUUUACUAAGCCAUAUUGAAAUGACCUCCUGUCAUCUCAACAUUUUAUCCAUAAUUAAAAAAAAAGUGCCCAUUUCUUAAACAGAGCACAAAUACCAAGCAAUAAUAAAUAGUUCCAAACUUGUAGUAAAAGACAAAACCUCCAAGUAAACAACAAAAGCUCAUACAAUAAGUAAUAGAAAAGGUAAUAAAAAUAUUUUGCCUUGCCAGUACAAAUGCAAACAACUGAAAUCAAUGUAACUUUGCUUUGCAGGGCUGAGAUACAAAGAGCACCAAAUCACAGAUUUGCCUGUGUUCAACAAAACUCCCGGCUGAUGGAUGAGCCGGGAUGCAGGGCUGAUUUCCUUACUUUUCACAUUUUGCUUAGAGUAAUUCAGUCUCCUCUCCCCUUGAGACUCUCCAAUGGCAAGUGGCAGGUUCCAAUGGGGGGCAACUUUGGGCAAAGUUGUGGCAGUGUGGAACCCAGGCUGAGGUUGGUGGGGUCACCCAGGCCAGAGCCCUCUCUCUGGGUCACCUGCUUUGGGGUGCAUUAUUUACUUAUUUUUAAUACAGAAGAGAAGCAAAAUUCUCUUCUCUCUGCAGUCCACAGAGACACACAAGCCUUGUGCUUUAGGAUGGCUUCGUCCUGGCAUUCUGGUGAUUGUGUGUGAGCUGGUGAGCACUGGCUACCAGUGAAGGCCGCAGGACACCACCGUGGGGACUCCGCAGCCGCUAACACGGCAGGGGCAGGGCCCGGGGCAGGGAAGGCAGCCCUGGUGCCCAGGCUGGGCAGGUGGGGAACUCAAACUUGCCCACUCCCCUGCCCCUCUCUUUUAACCUUGCAAAGGGGAGUGGAAAGGGGAAACAGCGCAAACAGAAAAGCUCCCAGGACGAUUUCUGCAUUUGGUAAAGAAUUGCCUAGCAGGAUGCUUGGUUAUACUCCCAUAACCUGAAGUAAUGGUUUCUUACAUUUCCUGAAAUUAAAAAAAUGGCUUCCUGAUAUAGGUAUUUGUUAAAAAUGUAUUAUUCCCUCCAAAAGACCACUACUUUUAUUAUCUUAAAGCUACUUGGCUUUACAAAAAAAAAAAAGAGGGGCAGGGUCGGGAGGGACAGAGAGAAAGAAAAGAAAUUAAAUAAAAAUGAAAUGAACAGUUACAAGACAGACAGAGGCUGGAGGCUGGAGGCUGGAGGGGAAUGGAGGGGAAUGGAGGGGAAUGGAGGGGAAUGGAGGGGAAUGGAGGGGAAUGGAGGGGAAUGGAGGGGAAUGCAGAGGAAGGAAAGAGGCGAAAAGGCACCGAAUUCAUUCAUCCCAGGCCCUCGGCAUUCGGAAAUGGACGGGAAUGUAGGUUUCGGAGAGAAAAGCAGCAAAGUAGGGAAGAAAAAUAGGCCAACGUCUCCAUGGAACGGAAGAUCCUGGUUGAAAGGCUCCCUCCCCACACCCCGCCUGCACCAGCCGCCGGGGACCUGGACCUGGCCGGCUAGCGUUUGUUUCCUGUUUUCUCAAGGAAGACAGCAGCUUGGUUUACACUUCUCUGCCACGGAGGCCAGCAGAGGUGGUGCUGACCACCACAGAGGCGACAGCAGAGAAGGAAGGGGACCUCGAGCGUCUCUCCUGAACACCUGCCGCCUCACAGAUGGCCUGUGAGAGGAAGGGAGGACACUGUGGAAUGUGGCCGACAUCUUAACACAAACUGAUUUUUCCACUCAAGACAAAUAAAGCGUUUCCCAUCCAGUCUGCUGCGGCCACACCAAGGUGCCCUGGGACAAAGUUCGGCCUUGAGCUCGAAGCCCACCUCGAACCCUUCUUUGUGUAGGCCAAUUCCAACAAAAAAUAUAUGCAACUGAAACGAUCUGCGAACCAAAGUACUGAACUACUUCCUUCUGUCUCUUUCACAAAGGUUGUCAAACAACCCCUUUUUUUCUCCUGUACAAUAGGACUUAACAUACAAAUUUUUUUGCAAUAUUUUAUCCUGCCAAAUUAAAAAAAUAUAUUAUGGCAGCCUGUUUGUUUUUGUUUUUUUUUUCUUUUUAUUUCCAAAUUCACUAACAAAAAGGUACAUUAAAUCCCUUUAAAAGGACAAGCUUACAGUUAAAAAAUUACAAGCUCCAGUAAAAAUACAGCAAGUGCCUACAUCAUACGAACCAACCAAUAUAUCCAUUCCAGAGGGAGGUGGGGAGAGAAAAAUAAGUACAGGUCAGAAAUGUGAUUUUUUUUUUCUGCAAAGCAAUAACAAUAUUAAGCACUUUUUUCUACAUACUUUUUCUACAUGGUGUAGCAAUCCCCUUUUAAUCCCCAAAUACAAGUUUCUAUACAUCUUUUUUGAAAUAAAAAUUCAACACCCAAGGCAGAAAAAAAUUUACUAAAACUCCGACUUUACAGUUACUGUGACAAGAACAAAUUGAUAGACCCACCAUUUAAAUUUUACUGCAACAUUUUCAAGGAAAAAAAAGUUUUUUUUUUC